CCUACGGGUGGCAGCAGUGAGGAAUAUUGGUCAAUGGGCGGAAGCCUGAACCAGCCAAGUCGCGUGAGGGAUUAAGGCCCUAUGGGUCGUAAACCUCUUUUGUCAGGGAGCAAGGUCGUCCACGUGUGGGCGUAUGGAGAGUACCUGAAGAAAAAGCAUCGGCUAACUCCGUGCCAGCAGCCGCGGUAAUACGGAGGAUGCGAGCGUUAUCCGGAUUUAUUGGGUUUAAAGGGUGCGUAGGCGGGACCUUAAGUCAGCGGUAAAAUUGCGGUGCUCAACGCCGUAGAGCCGUUGAAACUGGAGCUCUUGAGUGAGCGAGAAGUAUGCGGAAUGCGUGGUGUAGCGGUGAAAUGCAUAGAUAUCACGCAGAACCCCGAUUGCGAAGGCAGCAUACCGGCGCUCAACUGACGUUGAGGCUCGAAAGCGUGGGGAGCAAACAGGAUUAGAUACCCGAGUAGUC
This 460-nucleotide ribosomal RNA is filed under the name uncultured bacterium. RNAcentral describes it as "partial 16S ribosomal RNA". It matches the Rfam family "Bacterial small subunit ribosomal RNA", at positions 338 to 795 of the family's 1533-position model. The record is from RNAcentral.